CAUUAAGUGUCUGAGCG
This 17-nucleotide transfer RNA is filed under the name Okanagana magnifica. RNAcentral's name for it is "partial tRNA-Lys". Lineage: Eukaryota; Metazoa; Arthropoda; Insecta; Hemiptera; Cicadidae. The record is from RNAcentral.